ACAAAAACAUGUCUUUUUGAAUUUAUUUUAAAGUCUGACCUGCCCACUGAGUUUUUAAUGGCCGCAGUAUAUUAACUGUGCAAAGGUAGCAUAAUCAUUAGUCUUUUAAUUGAAGGCUGGUAUGAAUGGUUGGACGAAAUAUUAACUGUUUCAUUUAAAUUUUUUGUAGAAUUUUAUUUUUUAGUGAAAAAGCUAAAAUUUAUUUAAAAGACGAGAAGACCCUAUAAAUCUUUAUAAAUUGUUUUUAGUGAUUAAUUGGAAUUAUAUAAUUAUUAAAAAUUAAUUUAUUUUAUUGGGGUGAUAUUAAAAUUUAAUUAACUUUUAAUUUGUAAUUACAUUUAUUUAUGAUUUAUUGAUCCAUUAAUAAUGAUUAAAAAUUUAAGUUACUUUAGGGAUAACAGCGUGAUUUUUUUGGAGAGUUCAUAUCGAUAAAAAAGAUUGCGACCUCGAUGUUGGAUUAAGGAAUAGGUUUAGGCGUAGCCGUUUAAAUUUUAAGUCUGUUCGACUUUUAAUUUCUUA
RNAcentral lists this ribosomal RNA (519 nucleotides) under Tetanura pallidiventris. RNAcentral describes it as "partial 16S ribosomal RNA". It matches the Rfam family "Bacterial large subunit ribosomal RNA", at positions 1807 to 2598 of the family's 2925-position model. Lineage: Eukaryota; Metazoa; Arthropoda; Insecta; Diptera; Sciomyzidae. The record is from RNAcentral.